CUCGGCUGCUAUCCUGGGUGUCUGCCUCUCAAGCACCAGACUUCCACUAACAGAUGCUCCAUUAUGAGGUGCUCAUCAUGGGGCUCCUGGCUCCAGCCGUGUAACCAGCAGCACCAUGAACAACCGUCAUGGACGACACCACGGAAGAGACUAUCGUGAACUGCCGUUAACAGUUCCACACACGACUGGGAUUAACAUCGUGCUCUCGUUUUACAGAGGGAGCUGUAAGAAGAGCGGCUAACAAGCGGCUGAAAACUGUUGAUCGUCGCAACAAGCCAGCAAGAGGGCAGUUACAUGCAGAAGAGAUUUGGAGGCUCGGUCUGACCGGCGUCAUCACGGCAGACCGGGGAGUGAGUGGAUAGAUGCUUUCCACCCGCUCUAUCAGAACGGGGCUCAAUGAACUUGCUGCUUGAGUGUUACUGUGAUUUUGCAAACAUUGUACUGAUCAUUUAUCCGUAAUUGGGUUUAGUGCGCACAUUGCCCCCUUGUGGCGACACAGUGGCGUUGCAAGCUCUCACUUUAAUAGAUGCACUGCAGACCCGGACACACCGGAAAACGUAAGAUGUGUUGAUGCAGGCCU
Long non-coding RNA from Osmerus eperlanus (European smelt), 580 nucleotides. RefSeq lists it as uncharacterized. The record is from RefSeq and is a predicted model, not a curated record. NCBI's taxonomy places the organism in Eukaryota, Metazoa, Chordata, Actinopteri, Osmeriformes, Osmeridae. The transcript has 3 exons.